RNAcentral lists this transfer RNA (77 nucleotides) under Cistopus chinensis. RNAcentral's name for it is "tRNA-Ser". It matches the Rfam family "tRNA". Rfam says of the family: Transfer RNA (tRNA) molecules are approximately 80 nucleotides in length. Their secondary structure includes four short double-helical elements and three loops (D, anti-codon, and T loops). Further hydrogen bonds mediate the characteristic L-shaped molecular structure. tRNAs have two regions of fundamental functional importance: the anti-codon, which is responsible for specific mRNA codon recognition, and the 3' end, to which the tRNAs corresponding amino acid is attached (by aminoacyl-tRNA synthetases). tRNAs cope with the degeneracy of the genetic code in two manners: having more than one tRNA (with a specific anti-codon) for a particular amino acid; and 'wobble' base-pairing, i.e. permitting non-standard base-pairing at the 3rd anti-codon position. Lineage: Eukaryota; Metazoa; Mollusca; Cephalopoda; Octopoda; Octopodidae. The record is from RNAcentral.
AGAUAGAUAUUAGGUUAUAUUGGGAUGAAUGUUGGUUUUGAAAACCAAUAAUAAGUGUUCGAUUCACUUGUAAUCUU